UACGAAGGGUGCAAGCGUUACUCGGAAUUACUGGGCGUAAAGCGUGCGUAGGUGGUUUGUUAAGUCUGAUGUGAAAGCCCUGGGCUCAACCUGGGAAUGGCAUUGGAAACUGGCGACCUAGAGUGCGGUAGAGGGUAGUGGAAUUCCCGGUGUAGCAGUGAAAUGCGUAGAGAUCGGGAGGAACAUCCGUGGCGAAGGCGACUACCUGGACCAGCACUGACACUGAGGCACGAAAGCGUGGGGAGCAAACAGG
RNAcentral lists this ribosomal RNA (253 nucleotides) under uncultured bacterium. RNAcentral's name for it is "partial 16S ribosomal RNA". It matches the Rfam family "Bacterial small subunit ribosomal RNA", at positions 524 to 776 of the family's 1533-position model. The record is from RNAcentral.